GCCAAAGUAAUCAUUACAUUCUGGAACUUAGGAGUCGUACUUGGUCUCCGAUGAGGAAGGCAUUAACUGUGAUUUCUGUCACAUGCUGAUUCAAAACUGUGGACUAUCUUGCAAAAAAUACAAGAAGACAUUGAAAGUUUUCAUGAGUGCCUACCACCUAAUCUCAAACACUAUCAUUCAUAUGUGCCUCAUUGAGCAAAUCUUUAUUGAGGAUCUAUAUGCCAGGUAUGUGCUAAGCUCUGGGCUUAGUGUGGCAAAGAGAACAGAUAUGGCCUUGAGGUUUCUGCUCUCACAAAGCUUACAGUCUCCUAUUUGUGUAUGUGUAAUUCUCAUAGGUAUUACAGGAAAACAGGAAAGCUGUUUUCCUCAUUUUUCUUUGGCUCAUAU
Molecule: long non-coding RNA, 387 nt
Filed under: Pongo abelii (Sumatran orangutan)
Lineage: Eukaryota; Metazoa; Chordata; Mammalia; Primates; Hominidae
Description: lncRNA (ENSPPYG00000037309.1)
Source: RNAcentral